AUUGAACGCUGGCGGCAUGCUUUACACAUGCAAGUCGAACGGCAGCACGGGGGCAACCCUGGUGGCGAGUGGCGAACGGGUGAGUAAUAUAUCGGAACGUACCCGGAAAUGGGGGAUAACGUAGCGAAAGUUACGCUAAUACCGCAUAUGCCCUAAGGGGGAAAGCGGGGGAUUCGCAAGAACCUCGCGUUUUCGGAGCGGCCGAUAUCGGAUUAGCUAGUAGGUGAGGUAAAGGCUCACCUAGGCGACGAUCCGUAGCUGGUCUGAGGGGACGACCAGCCACACUGGAACUGAGACACGGUCCAGACUCCUACGGGAGGCAGCAGUGGGGAAUUUUGGACAAUGGGCGCAAGCCUGAUCCAGCCAUGCCGCGUGAGUGAAGAAGGCCU
RNAcentral lists this ribosomal RNA (389 nucleotides) under uncultured bacterium. RNAcentral describes it as "bacterial SSU rRNA". It matches the Rfam family "Bacterial small subunit ribosomal RNA", at positions 30 to 417 of the family's 1533-position model. The record is from RNAcentral.